AUAUAGAUGACUGAUAUUAUAGUGUUAGAUUGUAAAUCUAUUUAAGGAGUUUUCCUCUAUUAA
This 63-nucleotide transfer RNA is filed under the name Ichthyoxenos japonensis. Its description in RNAcentral is "tRNA-Tyr". Lineage: Eukaryota; Metazoa; Arthropoda; Malacostraca; Isopoda; Cymothoidae. The record is from RNAcentral.